Molecule: ribosomal RNA, 365 nt
Filed under: uncultured eukaryote
Lineage: Eukaryota
Description: partial 18S ribosomal RNA
Rfam family: Eukaryotic small subunit ribosomal RNA
Source: RNAcentral
CAAUAGCGUAUAUUAACGUUGUUGCAGUUAAAAAGCUCGUAGUUGGAUUUCUGGAGGGAGCGUCGGCCCGUAUUUACGAGUGCGUGACGUCUCUGUCCAUCCUUGCGGGAAGGCACGGCAUUGAUUUGUUGUGUCGGAUCGCAUCAUUUACUGUGAAAAAAUUAGAGUGUUCAAAGCAGGCUUUCGCUUGAAUACAUUAGCAUGGAAUAAUAAGAUAGGACUUUGGUGCUAUUUUGUUGGUUGAGCCCAAAGUAAUGAUUAAUAGGGAUAGUUGGGGGCACCUGUAUUGCGUUGUCAGAGGUGAAAUUCUUGGAUUUACGCAAGACAAACAGCUGCGAAAGCGUCUGCCAAGGAUGUUUUCAUUA